Molecule: long non-coding RNA, 350 nt
Organism: Vicia villosa (hairy vetch)
Lineage: Eukaryota; Viridiplantae; Streptophyta; Magnoliopsida; Fabales; Fabaceae
Exons: 3
Source: RefSeq, a predicted model, not a curated record
UUCUCGACCACAAUUCUUUUAUGAUUCAGUUUCCAUUUUCUUCUACAAUGUCCUCCGUCCUCCUCAAGUUUCUAUUGCGGAAAAGCUCGAGAAAUAUUAUGAUUUGGGGGAUUUAAAACUCGGUUCCGGUGUGGAUGAGAGCGUAUUAUAUGAGAUUCUCUCUAGUCUGCGGUCUGCAACUACUGAUGCUGCAAGUUCAUCUUCUGCAUUUCCAACAAUAUCUGCGACAAAACCAGUUACCGAACUUCUUUCAGAAGCAGCUCCACUGGAUGAUGCAGAGCCUUUGUUUGAAGAAGAUACUACGAACAAAAUCGAUGGAAUUGUCCAUGAUGAAACCGCUAAUGUGCAGG